UACGUAGGGAGCAAGCGUUAUCCGGAUUUAUUGGGUGUAAAGGGUGCGUAGACGGGAAAACAAGUUAGUUGUGAAAUCCCUCGGCUUAACUGAGGAACUGCAACUAAAACUAUUUUUCUUGAGUGCUGGAGAGGAAAGUGGAAUUCCUAGUGUAGCGGUGAAAUGCGUAGAUAUUAGGAGGAACACCAGUGGCGAAGGCGACUUUCUGGACAGUAACUGACGUUGAGGCACGAAAGUGUGGGGAGCAAACAGGAUUAGAUACCCUGGUAGUCCACACCGUGAACGAUGGAUACUAGGUGUAGGGGAUGAAUAAUCCUCUGUGCCGUCGCAAACGCAGUAAGUAUCCCACCUGGGGAGUACGGCCGCAAGGUUGAA
Molecule: ribosomal RNA, 375 nt
Filed under: uncultured bacterium
Lineage: Bacteria
Description: bacterial SSU rRNA
Rfam family: Bacterial small subunit ribosomal RNA
Source: RNAcentral